This 49-nucleotide ribosomal RNA is filed under the name Pleosporales sp. RNAcentral describes it as "partial 28S ribosomal RNA". Lineage: Eukaryota; Fungi; Ascomycota; Dothideomycetes; Pleosporales. The record is from RNAcentral.
GCUUGACCUCGGAUCAGGUAGGGAUACCCGCUGAACUUAAGCAUAUCAU